CCUACGGGAGGCAGCAGUAGGGAAUCUUUCACAAUGGGCGAAAGCCUGAUGGAGCAACGCCGCGUGCAGGAUGAAGGCCUUCGGGUUGUAAACUGCUUUUAUAAGCGAGAAAUAUGAUGGUAACUUAUGAAUAAGGAUCGGCUAACUACGUGCCAGCAGCCGCGGUCAUACGUAGGAUCCGAGCAUUAUCCGGAGUGACUGGGUGUAAAGAGUUGCGUAGGUGGCAUAAUAAGUAGCUAGUGAAAUCUGGUGGCUCAACCAUUCAGACUAUUAGCUAAACUGUUAAGCUCGAGACCGUUAGGGGUAACUGGAAUUUCUAGUGUAGGAGUGAAAUCCGUAGAUAUUAGAAGGAACACCAAUAGCGUAGGCAGGUUACUGGGACGGUUCUGACACUAAGGCACGAAAGCGUAGGGAGCGAACGGGAUUAGAUACCCGAGUAGUC
This 442-nucleotide ribosomal RNA is filed under the name uncultured bacterium. Its description in RNAcentral is "partial 16S ribosomal RNA". It matches the Rfam family "Bacterial small subunit ribosomal RNA", at positions 338 to 795 of the family's 1533-position model. The record is from RNAcentral.